UCAGAUCUAACUCUUCCAGUUCU
RNAcentral lists this microRNA (23 nucleotides) under Schmidtea mediterranea. Its description in RNAcentral is "sme-miR-750-3p". Its record names the gene sme-miR-750-3p. The record is from miRBase by way of RNAcentral. Lineage: Eukaryota; Metazoa; Platyhelminthes; Tricladida; Dugesiidae.